This 474-nucleotide ribosomal RNA is filed under the name uncultured bacterium. Its description in RNAcentral is "SSU rRNA". It matches the Rfam family "Bacterial small subunit ribosomal RNA", at positions 26 to 518 of the family's 1533-position model. The record is from RNAcentral.
AGGACGAACGCUGGCGGCGUGCUUAACACAUGCAAGUCGAGCGGAAAGGCCCUUCGGGGUACUCGAGCGGCGAACGGGUGAGUAACACGUGAGUAACCUGCCCCUAGCUCUGGGAUAGCUCCGGGAAACCGGGAUUAAUACCAGAUACGACCACUUUAGACAUCUGUCGUGGUGGAAAGGAUUCCGGCUAGGGAUGGGCUCGCGGCCUAUCAGCUUGUUGGUGGGGUAACGGCCUACCAAGGCGACGACGGGUAGCCGGCCUGAGAGGGCGACCGGCCACACUGGGACUGAGACACGGCCCAGACUCCUACGGGAGGCAGCAGUGGGGAAUAUUGCGCAAUGGGCGAAAGCCUGACGCAGCGACGCCGCGUGGAGGAUGAAGGCCUUCGGGUUGUAAACCCCUUUCAGCAGGGACGAAGCGAAAGUGACGGUACCUGCAGAAGAAGCGCCGGCUAACUACGCGCCAGCAGCCGC